This 3930-nucleotide long non-coding RNA is filed under the name Sus scrofa (pig). RNAcentral describes it as "lncRNA (ENSSSCG00015032289.1)". The record is from RNAcentral. Lineage: Eukaryota; Metazoa; Chordata; Mammalia; Artiodactyla; Suidae.
UUUUUUUUUUGGCUGCUCUCAUGGCAUGCAGAAGUUCCAGGGCCAAGGAUUGAGCCCACACCACAGCAGUAGCAAUGUUAGAUCCUUGACCUGCUGAGCCACUAAGGAACUCCAAGGCUUUGCAAUUCUAACAGUACCCAGGCGCUGCUGCUGUUAUUGGUUCCAGCCACUCUGCGAAUCACUUCAAAAGAGAUAAACUUCAAAAAUAUUGAGCCUCUCUCAUUAAAGUGGGUAAUCUCUGUCUAGCCCAAGAGUCAGCUUCAAGCCUUUGGCUUGAUUUCAUGUACAUUGUCUCAAUAUUGUUUAUUAUUGCAACUUCAGCCCAAGAAUUCAGAUUUCUCUUAGGAGGAAAUCUGACAGAGGCUCUAAAUUUUUCCUCAAAAUCUCUACUCCCUUUGUCUACAGUGGUAGAAGCUCUGAUAUUUAGCUGAGCACCUGGCUUCCCAGAAUAGUGAUUAUAUUUCCUAGCAAUUUUACACCUAGAUGUGGCCAUGUGACUAAGCUGCAGUCAGUUGUAUGUGGGCAAGAGUGAUAUGUGCCAUGUCUGGGUCAUUCUCCUAAAGGGAAAGGACACCUUCUGUUCUCCUUUUUCCAUCUUGCUGCUCUGAACAUUGAUGUGGUGGGCACCAUUUUGGACCACGGGGAAAAGCCAACCAGAUAUGCUAGAAUAUGAACAGAGAAGAAAACUAGACUCCUGGCAUAACGGAGUUAUCAUACCAUCCUGGACUCCUAGUGACUAAAUUGUUAGGCUAGAAGUAACAACCUUUCUUAAGGCCACUGUUAUUUUGAGUCAAUGACACAGAAGCCCAACUGAUAUUCUAACUAAUGCCAGAGGAUACUGUGACUCUUCUAUUUACUGGAAAGAGCCUCUGAAGAUAUUUCAGGAUACAGAACCAUGAAAGAGCUUGGAAGAACAGCACAGAGACCUUUUCUUUGUUUUGUUGAGUUUCUCAUUUCUGUAUAUUCAGAAAGAAGAUGAUGUUCCCACUUUAAAAAAUAAUUAUGAAAAAAGUGUAGGGUAAAGCUGAUGGAGAAAAAAAGUCUUAAGAGCUUAAUGUUAAUCCAGAUCAAAUCUCAGAAAAAUAGGAUCUGAGUACAGUAUUUGUACUAUUUAUAUUCUUUUCAGGCCAAGAGCAGUACUUAUAAGGUAAACUUACAGAAUUGUCAAAGGAAGGAAAUAUCAUAGUCUUUGUGUACCUUGAACUGAGGAAAAAAUGGAUAUAAAGUCUUUUAUGAUAGCUUUGUGGCUAAAACAGAAAAAUGAGGGUUGGAGUUCACUUGGUUAAACAGAAUUGCAUCUGAUUGGUCAACUAUACUUCAUAUGUUGAUCCAUGGUGCCAUUCUAACUAAAUGUAUGAUUCAAGUCGUGUUUGAUUGUAAAGCCCAGAAAACCCAAUAGUGGGUUAAGCAAUAAAGACACAGUUAUUUCUCAUAACAAGAACUCUAGAGAUAGGCAUAAUAGCCUCGUUCAGGAGUUUCUCCAUCUUCAUACUGCCUCAGCCUUCAUGAGGAUCACCUCAAGGUCACAGGAUAGCUUCUAUGGCUCCAGGCGUCACAAUCACAUUCAAAGGCAGAAGUAAUGGAGUAAUCAGUGUUAAGAGAACACAUCUUAGAUUGACCUUGCUUUUUUUUUUUUUUAUAAAUGGGAGCAGAAUAUUUCCCCACACUCUUUCCUCCUUGUGGAAGUCCCUUUGUGUCUCACCACUUACAGGGAAGCUAGCAUAUUGGGUUUCUGGCUUUUCUAAGACUCUAUGAUUGAGAGACAGCAAGGAAUAAGAAAGUUGGAAGAAAUGCCUAUUGGGUGAGUUGACCAAUUAUGACUACCACACUUUGAAAGAGGUCUUUAGGAGUAUCUGUAGGGUGUAGUGGGGCUAGCAUGAAGGGAUCAUUCAUUAACAACUUGGAAAAAAGGCAUGACUAUCGUGAUUAUAUGUCAUCUUCAAAUGACCCCUGGUGAGGACAGUUAAUAUCUUGAUGACAGAAUACAUUUUCAAAAAUUAUUUUUCUCCAAAGAUAAAAAUUGUAUACCUAAAUGAAAUACACAUCACCUCAGCACAGAGGCAUACCUGGCUUGACAUUGGUUUAUGUGGAAAAAGCCACUGGGGUUUAUGUUGGUCACUGAUUUCAAUCUGAGACACCGAGGAAGCGUAGUGUAUUAAGUUCACAGAAAUAAAAACACAUAAAUUGCUAACUCACUUCCAGAAAAUCUAUCUUUUUGUGUGUGUGUGUGCGUGUGAUUUUAUCUCUAUUUCUAUUAUUCAUUUAUUCAUUUGUUCAGGAUAGUUUCAUCAAAUGUGCAGGAUGUAGUGCCGGGCACAGGACAGACAGCAAUGCACAAAAUAGAAAACAAAUAAGUAUGUAGAGCAGGGUAAUGGGAAAGUGUGAUAAAUCCUACAAAAAUAAAAAGUCAAAGAGACUAAGAAACUGGACAAGUGGAGGUUGUGACUUGGCCUUGGGGAUGCAGGCUAGCUGCUGUGAAAAUGUGAUGAUUCUGCUCAUACUAGGAGGAUGAGGGAAGCUGGCCCAGCAGAUUUCUGGGGAAAAAGUAGGGGCCUGCAGAGAAAAUGAGCCCUUCUGAAGGCGCUGAUGUGGGGAGGAAUAGGGUGAACUGGAGGAAAUGCAAGAGUGGAACUGGGACAAGGUGUGGGAGGCAGCACAUCUCCAGAGGUGAGGCUGCAGAAUCGGGCCAAGGUGGGCUGUGUGGGCCAUGAUAGGAUGUCAAUCGUUAGAAUGCAUUGCUUUGCUCUGUAGAGACCUUGCCUGGCUGGUGUGUACAGAAUGAGCUGGAGGGCCAAGAUAGAUGCAGAGAAACUGGCUAGUAAGGUAUUGCCCUUUCAGACAGAGAGAUGCUGGCAGCUUGGACUUUGGGAGUAGGAGAGAUUUCAGAGUAGGAGAUGGAGUGGAUGUGAGGUGAGGGAGAGGGAGGUUUCAAGACUGACUCACGUUCUGACUUUUAAAAUUGAGUGGAUGGGACCUGCACUCACUGAGAACAGGUUACCGAAAGUGGGACCAGCUGCUCACCGCUCAGAAGCCAAUAAAAAGGCAAGGUUAGUGGAAAAGAAAGUUGGCUUUAUUUUAGAGGCUGGCAAGUGGGGGGCAGGGGGUAGGGACACAUGCUCAAAAGCCAAUUCUGCCCGCUAACAAUUAGUGGGCAAGAACUUUUAUAGGCAGAGGAAGGGGGCUACAUAGAGAAACAGCAAGUCACCUCUGACAGCCACCUUUUUAAAAAAUUUUUUUAUUGAAGUAUAGUUGAUUUAUGAUGUACUAAUUUCUUCUGUACAGCAAAGUGACUCAGCUAUACAUAUAUAUUCUUUUCCAUUGUGGUUUAUCACAGGAUAGUGAAUAUAGUUCACUGGGCUACAUAGCAGGGCCUUCUUGUUUAUUCAUCCUGUAUACAAUAAUUUGCCUCUGCCAAUCCCAAACUCUCAAUCCCUUCCUUCCUCCCUCGCGCCCUCCCCCUUAGCAACCACAUCUCUUCUAUAUGUCUCUGAUCUGUUUCUGCUUUGUAAAUAGGAUCAUCUAUGCCAUAUUUUAGAUUCCACAUAUGUGAUGUCAUACGGUAUUUCUCUGUCUUUCUGACUUCCUUUGCUUAGUAUGAGAAUCUCUAGUUGCAUCCAUGUUGCUGCAAAUGGCAUUAUUUCACUCUUUUUGGUGGCUGAGUAAUAUUCUAUUGUACAUAUACCAUAUCUUCUUUAUUCCUUCAUCUGUCGAUGGAUGUUUAGUUUGCUUCCAUGUCUUGGCUAUUGUAAAUCAUGCUAUUAAUAUACUGGUGCAUGCAUCUUUUCAAAUUGUCGUUUUGACAGCCAUCUUAAAAUUGGUCAUGCGGUGGUCUGAUUAGCUUCAUCUUGAUUGUUUUAAGUACAGUUAGCCUUCAGGGUUGGUUUGCUCCCAUUUCUUUGAGGCCAGUUUUCAGAAUUACAGCAGCUUAUG